AAUAUUUCACAAUGGAGGAAACUCUGAUGCAGCGACGCCGCGUGAACGAUGAAGGCCUUCGGGUCGUAAAGUUCUGUCCUAGGGGACGAUAAUGACGGUACACAAGGAGGAAGCUCCGGCUACAUACGUGCCAGCAGCCGCGGUAAUACGUAGGGGGCGAGCGUUGUCCGGAAUUAUUGGGCGUAAAGGGUUCGUAGGAGGUCUUUUAAGUCAGAUGUGAAAGGUCACGACUCAAACGUGGUAAACAUUAGAAACUGAGAGACUUGCGUUAACGAGAGGAAAGUGGAAUUCCUAGUGUAGCGGUGAAAUGCGUAGAUAUUAGGAGGAAUACCAGUGGCGAAGGCGACUUUCUGGACCUAUACUGACGCUGAGGAACGAAAGCGUGGGGAGCAAACAGG
This 398-nucleotide ribosomal RNA is filed under the name uncultured bacterium. Its description in RNAcentral is "partial 16S ribosomal RNA". It matches the Rfam family "Bacterial small subunit ribosomal RNA", at positions 360 to 776 of the family's 1533-position model. The record is from RNAcentral.